AAAAUGGCUGGCCCAGUUCUCCCAGUGUUCAGACUACGUGUUCGUUGGACAGAACCUGAACAGUAGUCUACACACUGGUUAAACUGGGACGGACAGCGGC
RNAcentral lists this microRNA precursor (100 nucleotides) under Pelobates cultripes (western spadefoot toad). The stretch from base 11 to 90 matches the Rfam family "mir-199 microRNA precursor family". From Rfam's summary of the family: This family consists of the microRNA (miRNA) precursor mir-199 which appears to be specific to humans. Animal miRNAs are transcribed as ~70nt precursors and subsequently processed by the Dicer enzyme to give a ~22nt product. The record is from RNAcentral. Lineage: Eukaryota; Metazoa; Chordata; Amphibia; Anura; Pelobatidae.